GAUUCGUUGGUUUAAAUCAAACCUGUUAUGAUUUAAGAAAACGAAUCGCCACAACCACAUUGUUUGCUGAGCUUGACUCCGGGCAGUGUGGUUAUUUU
Molecule: regulatory RNA element, 98 nt
Organism: Streptococcus sp.
Lineage: Bacteria; Bacillati; Bacillota; Bacilli; Lactobacillales; Streptococcaceae
Rfam family: 23S methyl RNA motif
Source: Rfam